GGUUGGGUUGGUGGAGAUAGAAAAUUGACAGAAGAGAGUGAGCACACAGAGGUAGAUGGCAUAAUGUGUAUGCUAUUGCUUUUGCGUGCUCAUUUCUCUUUCUGUCACUUGCUCACUCUCCCUGCCUGCCUUGACC
Molecule: microRNA precursor, 136 nt
Filed under: Fragaria vesca subsp. vesca
Lineage: Eukaryota; Viridiplantae; Streptophyta; Magnoliopsida; Rosales; Rosaceae
Description: Fragaria vesca miR156e stem-loop (fve-MIR156e)
Gene: fve-MIR156e
Rfam family: mir-156 microRNA precursor family (bases 25-108)
About the family: This family represents the plant microRNA (miRNA) precursor mir-156. Animal miRNAs are transcribed as ~70nt precursors and subsequently processed by the Dicer enzyme to give a ~22nt product.
Source: miRBase by way of RNAcentral